RNAcentral lists this ribosomal RNA (497 nucleotides) under uncultured bacterium. RNAcentral's name for it is "partial 16S ribosomal RNA". It matches the Rfam family "Bacterial small subunit ribosomal RNA", at positions 28 to 507 of the family's 1533-position model. The record is from RNAcentral.
GAUGAACGCUGGCGGCGUGCCUAAUACAUGCAAGUCGAGCGAACGGACGAGAAGCUUGCUUCUCUGAUGUUAGCGGCGGACGGGUGAGUAACACGUGGAUAACCUACCUAUAAGACUGGGAUAACUUCGGGAAACCGGAGCUAAUACCGGAUAAUAUUUUGAACCGCAUGGUUCAAAAGUGAAAGACGGUCUUGCUGUCACUUAUAGAUGGAUCCGCGCUGCAUUAGCUAGUUGGUAAGGUAACGGCUUACCAAGGCAACGAUGCAUAGCCGACCUGAGAGGGUGAUCGGCCACACGGGAACUGAGACACGGUACAGACUCCUACGGGAGGCAGCAGUAGGGAAUCUUCCGCAAUGGGCGAAAGCCUGACGGAGCAACGCCGCGUGAGUGAUGAAGGUCUUCGGAUCGUAAAACUCUGUUAUUAGGGAAGAACAGAUGUGUAAGUAACUGUGCACAUCUUGACGGUACCUAAUCAGAAAGCCACGGCUAACUACGUG